This 506-nucleotide ribosomal RNA is filed under the name uncultured bacterium. RNAcentral describes it as "partial 16S ribosomal RNA". It matches the Rfam family "Bacterial small subunit ribosomal RNA", at positions 29 to 523 of the family's 1533-position model. The record is from RNAcentral.
AGUGAACGCUGGCGGUAGGCCUAACACACGCAAGUCGAACGGCAGCACAGAGGAGCUUGCUCCUUGGGUGGCGAGUGGCGGACGGGUGAGGAAUACAUCGGAAUCUACUCUGUCGUGGGGGAUAACGUAGGGAAACCUACGCUAAUACCGCAUACGACCUACGGGUGAAAGCAGGGGACCUUCGGGCCUUGCGCGAUUGAAUGAGCCGAUGUCGGAUUAGCUAGUUGGCGGGGUAAAGGCCCACCAAGGCGACGAUCCGUAGCUGGUCUGAGAGGAUGAUCAGCCACACUGGAACUGAGACACGGUCCAGACUCCUACGGGAGGCAGCAGUGGGGAAUAUUGGACAAUGGGCGCAAGCCUGAUCCAGCCAUACCGCGUGGGUGAAGAAGGCCUUCGGGUUGUAAAGCCCUUUUGUUGGGAAAGAAAUCCAGCUGGCUAAUACCCGGUUGGGAUGACGGUACCCAAAGAAUAAGCACCGGCUAACUUCGUGCCAGCAGCCGCCGUAA